Molecule: unclassified non-coding RNA, 146 nt
Filed under: Flavobacterium xueshanense
Lineage: Bacteria; Pseudomonadati; Bacteroidota; Flavobacteriia; Flavobacteriales; Flavobacteriaceae
Description: Flavo-1 RNA
Source: RNAcentral
CUCUGUCAAGGAUAGCAACGGAAAGCCCGCAAAGGAGGAGGUCCUUUUAUUAAACAAACCCUAAAACAGCGACUACAGGAAGCUCGUUUUAGGGUUCGUUUUAAGGAAUGAUACCUGCGGACUUGCAGUGGAUAGCCUGCCCGGAC